UAGGCCAAUGCUCGCUGGCUUGGGCAGUUAGUUGUUAACUANUUUUUUACGGGAUCGAGGCCCGCUGGUCUA
This 72-nucleotide transfer RNA is filed under the name Cyrtodactylus pubisulcus (Inger's bow-fingered gecko). RNAcentral's name for it is "tRNA-Asx". Lineage: Eukaryota; Metazoa; Chordata; Lepidosauria; Squamata; Gekkonidae. The record is from RNAcentral.